Molecule: long non-coding RNA, 405 nt
Filed under: Monodelphis domestica (gray short-tailed opossum)
Lineage: Eukaryota; Metazoa; Chordata; Mammalia; Didelphimorphia; Didelphidae
Description: lncRNA (ENSMODG00000032376.2)
Source: RNAcentral
UUUCACGGGGGUAAAUGUGAUCUGAGCAAGUUAAAGCUGCUUCCAAGGGUGUCUAACUGAUAUAAUUGGAUUGUUGCUUAGCUGAGACACUGAAAGAAGCAGACUCAAAAUGUUGUUUACUGCUGGUCACAAAAUUUGCCAGGAAAUGGGCAGUUUCUAGGACUCCUGUGAAUAGUCACUUGCCCGUCCAUUCACAGUGUGUGUCCACUAUGUGUUUAUAAAGAAAAGCAGCUGUGAACCCAGACACCUAUGAAUGCCCUCCAUUUACUACAAUGGUACCAAGAGGGAAGGAGACCAAAGGCGAACACACAUGGCAGGAUUGUUUGGAGGCAGAGUCAAGAUGGUGGCAUAAAAGCAGAAAAUGUUCAGAUCUCUGAAAACACUUCCUUACCAAUUACAAACUAA